Molecule: ribosomal RNA, 228 nt
Filed under: uncultured bacterium
Lineage: Bacteria
Description: partial 16S ribosomal RNA
Rfam family: Bacterial small subunit ribosomal RNA
Source: RNAcentral
GAUCCUGGCUCAGGAUGAACGCUAGCUACAGGCUUAACACAUGCAAGUCGGAGGGGCAGCAUGGUCUUAGCUUGCUAAGGCCGAUGGCGACCGGCGCACGGGUGAGUAACACGUAUCCAACCUGCCGUCUACGUCUUGGACAGCCUUCUGAAAGGAAGACUUAAUACAAGAUGGCAUCAUGUAGUCCACAUGUUCACAUGAUUAAAGGUAUUCCGGUAGACGAUGGGG